GACCGGAUCGCGGACUUGGUAGACGCGCUGGUCUCAAAAACCAGUUUCCUUUGGAAGUGCCGGUUCGACCCCGGCUCCGGGUACAA
This 86-nucleotide transfer RNA is filed under the name Bacteroidota bacterium. Its description in RNAcentral is "Bacteroidetes bacterium tRNA-Leu". It matches the Rfam family "tRNA". Rfam says of the family: Transfer RNA (tRNA) molecules are approximately 80 nucleotides in length. Their secondary structure includes four short double-helical elements and three loops (D, anti-codon, and T loops). The record is from RNAcentral. Lineage: Bacteria; Pseudomonadati; Bacteroidota.